RNAcentral lists this ribosomal RNA (257 nucleotides) under uncultured Glomeromycotina. RNAcentral describes it as "partial 18S ribosomal RNA". It matches the Rfam family "Eukaryotic small subunit ribosomal RNA", at positions 624 to 886 of the family's 1831-position model. Lineage: Eukaryota; Fungi; Glomeromycota. The record is from RNAcentral.
AAGCUCGUAGUUGAAUUUCGGGAUUAAUUUAUUGGUCGUGCAAUAGUACGUACUGGUAUUAUUGAUUCCUACCUUCUGACGAACCAUGAUGUCAUUAAUUUGGUGUCAUGGGGAAUCAGGACUGUUACUUUGAAAAAAUUAGAGUGUUUAAAGCAGGCUCACGCUUGAAUACAUUAGCAUGGAAUAACAAAAUAGGACGUUUGAUUCUAUUUUGUUGGUUUCUAGGAUCGACGUAAUGAUUAAUAGGGAUAGUUGGG